This is a long non-coding RNA of Drosophila willistoni, 626 nucleotides long. RefSeq lists it as uncharacterized. The record is from RefSeq and is a predicted model, not a curated record. The transcript has 3 exons. NCBI's taxonomy places the organism in Eukaryota, Metazoa, Arthropoda, Insecta, Diptera, Drosophilidae.
UAAACAACAAAUGUAUAAAAAACAAAACAAAAAAAUAUAAGUAAAAUGCCAACUAAGAGUUAUAGAGUUAUUCAAUAAAGUCGACUUUUGCCAUGACCUGUAUAGUUUGCUCUGUUUUUUGUAUCUAUUUAAUAUUUUUAAAUUGAAAUCAAACCAUUAAGCCAUCUCAAAGGAAGGACAAAAAGAUUAGGUUAAUACAUAGACAUUGUUGGAGAUAUUUAGUUGAUAACACCGCAAACUGUCGAGAUAAAUGCCCGAAGAUACAUGACAUAUAUGUACAUAAUGAAGAAGGAAUGAUAAGAUAAGGUCAGAAAUAAUAAAUUUCAACUGGAAAAGUAAAUUCAUGGGCGUAUGAAAAAGUCAACAAUACAAUUUAUGUCCACAAAAAGGUAACACAUUUGAAACUAAUGUCAUAGAUAAUCCAUCAUGGAAUUAAAUAUGGAAAGAGAAUACUAUAUCUAUCAUAAAUAUAAAUGAUUGCGCAUUCUAUAAGCCUCUCAAAAUGAAUCCUAAAAAGAAUAAUUGGCGAACAAUUCCUUUUUGCCAUUUUCAUUUUUACCAUGCCCCACAAAUUGUCGUCUUAACACCUUGUAAAAUAUGGCCAGGAUAAAGCUCAAGCUGUGUGU